RNAcentral lists this ribosomal RNA (520 nucleotides) under uncultured Glomus. RNAcentral describes it as "SSU rRNA". It matches the Rfam family "Eukaryotic small subunit ribosomal RNA", at positions 569 to 1092 of the family's 1831-position model. Lineage: Eukaryota; Fungi; Glomeromycota; Glomeromycetes; Glomerales; Glomeraceae. The record is from RNAcentral.
AGCAGCCGCGGUAAUUCCAGCUCCAAUAGCGUAUAUUAAAGUUGUUGCAGUUAAAAAGCUCGUAGUUGAAUUUCGGGAUCAAUACGUCGGUCGUGCUUCGGUACGUACUGGCGUCAUUGAUUUCUCCCUUCUGACGAACCAUGAUGUCAUUAAUUUGGUGUUAUGGGAAAUCAGGACUGUUACUUUGAAAAAAUUAGAGUGCUUAAAGCAGGCUCACGCUUGAAUACAUUAGCAUGGAAUAAUGAAAUAGGACGUUCGAUCCUAUUUUGUUGGUUUUAGGAUCAACGUAAUGAUUAAUAGGGAUAGUUGGGGGCAUUAGUAUUCAAUUGUCAGAGGUGAAAUUCUUGGAUUUAUUGAAGACUAACUACUGCGAAAGCAUUUGCCAAGGAUGUUUUCAUUAAUCAAGAACGAAAGUUAGGGGAUCGAAGACGAUCAGAUACCGUCGUAGUCUUAACCAUAAACUAUGCCGACUAGGGAUCGGAUGAUGUUAAUUUUUUAAUGACUCAUUCGGCGCCUUACG